GCAAACUUGGUCAUUUAGAGGAAGUAAAAGUCGUAACAAGGUUUCCGUAGGUGAACCUGCGGAAGGAUCAUUACCGAGUUAGGGUCUCCCUCGCGGGGCCCGACCUCCCAACCCCGUGUCUAUCAAACCUGUACGUGUUGCUUCGGCGGACCGGCGUCCUGCGCCGCCGGGGGGAGCUCCCGGCCGUUCCCGGCCGUUCCCCUGGAGAGCGUCCGUCGAUGGCCCAACCCAAACAAACUCCCAAAACCAAAUCAUUGUACCCAAUACCUUCUGAAUCAGACCUUUUGAUAUACCAAAUCAAAAACAAAACUUUCAACAACGGAUCUCUUGGUUCUGGCAUCGAUGAAGAACGCAGC
This 356-nucleotide unclassified non-coding RNA is filed under the name uncultured fungus. RNAcentral's name for it is "partial contains small subunit ribosomal RNA, internal transcribed spacer 1, and 5.8S ribosomal RNA". The stretch from base 1 to 73 matches the Rfam family "Eukaryotic small subunit ribosomal RNA", at positions 1759 to 1831 of the family's 1831-position model. The record is from RNAcentral. Lineage: Eukaryota; Fungi.